RNAcentral lists this ribosomal RNA (248 nucleotides) under uncultured bacterium. RNAcentral describes it as "partial 16S ribosomal RNA". It matches the Rfam family "Bacterial small subunit ribosomal RNA", at positions 29 to 304 of the family's 1533-position model. The record is from RNAcentral.
AACGAACGCUGGCGGCAUGCCUAACACAUGCAAGUCGAACGAGACCUUCGGGUCUAGUGGCGCACGGGUGCGUAACGCGUGGGAAUCUGCCCUUCGGUUCGGAAUAACUCAGGGAAACUUGAGCUAAUACCGGAUAAUGACUUCGGUCCAAAGAUUUAUCGCCGAGGGAUGAGCCCGCGUAGGAUUAGCUAGUUGGUGAGGUAAAGGCUCACCAAGGCGACGAUCCUUAGCNGGUCUGAGAGGAUGAU